RNAcentral lists this ribosomal RNA (278 nucleotides) under uncultured archaeon. RNAcentral describes it as "partial 16S rRNA". It matches the Rfam family "Archaeal small subunit ribosomal RNA", at positions 1047 to 1325 of the family's 1478-position model. The record is from RNAcentral.
GAGACCUGUACCUAUAAUUGCUAACAAGUCUAUCAGACGAUUGAGCACAUUAUGGGGACUGCCGUGGUAACACGGAGGAAGGUGCAGGCAACGGUAGGUCCGUAUGGUCCGGAUCCCCUGGGCUACACGCGCGCAACAAUGGUAGGAACAAUGGGAUGCAACUCCGAAAGGAGAAGCUAAGCCUCUAAAUCCUAUCUUAGUACGAAUUGGGGUUUGUAACUCAGCCUCAUGACGUCGGAAUCCCUAGUAAUCGAACUUAAUCAUGGUUUGGUGAACAU